CAAAAGGAAGCCUUUAAAGGCGUAUAUUAUAUCCACUUACACCUGUGAACUGACCUACUACUUGACGAAAUUCUAAUAUCUUUACAAACAAUGUGUAACAACGUCGUUUUAUUAUAACAAAACAACCCUUUCGACAACGGAUCUCUUGGCUCUCGCAUCGUUGAAGAACGCAGCUAAGGAUCUUUAGGGAUUGCCUUUAUUGGCUUAUAACUAUUUCCUUCGCUGUGAGUGUUAUACUACCAGCAUCAAGCAACAAUUUUUCGGCAAUGUGUAAGGAAGUCUUCAUCAUAACAAAAUAAAACUUUCACAACGGACUUGGCUCUGCACGUAAAAGCACACGA
This 341-nucleotide ribosomal RNA is filed under the name uncultured fungus. Its description in RNAcentral is "partial 18S ribosomal RNA". Lineage: Eukaryota; Fungi. The record is from RNAcentral.